RNAcentral lists this ribosomal RNA (266 nucleotides) under uncultured bacterium. Its description in RNAcentral is "partial 16S ribosomal RNA". It matches the Rfam family "Bacterial small subunit ribosomal RNA", at positions 793 to 1055 of the family's 1533-position model. The record is from RNAcentral.
GUCCACGCCCUAAACGAUGUCAACUAGGUGUUGGAAGGGUUAAACCUUUUAGUGCCGUAGCUAACGCGUGAAGUUGACCGCCUGGGGAGUAUGGCCGCAAGGCUAAAACUCAAAGGAAUUGACGGGGACCCGCACAAGCGGUGGAUGAUGUGGAUUAAUUCGAUGCAACGCGAAAAACCUUACCUACCCUUGACAUGUCAGGAAUCCCGGAGAGAUUUGGGAGUGCUCGAAAGAGAACCUGAACACAGGUGCUGCAUGGCUGUCGU